Molecule: ribosomal RNA, 158 nt
Filed under: Metarhizium sp. 1 QY-2013
Lineage: Eukaryota; Fungi; Ascomycota; Sordariomycetes; Hypocreales; Clavicipitaceae
Description: 5.8S ribosomal RNA
Rfam family: 5.8S ribosomal RNA
About the family: 5.8S ribosomal RNA (5.8S rRNA) is a component of the large subunit of the eukaryotic ribosome.
Source: RNAcentral
CUUUCAACAACGGAUCUCUUGGUUCUGGCAUCGAUGAAAAACGCAGCGAAAUGCGAUAAGUAAUGUGAAUUGCAAAAUUCAGUGAAUCAUCGAAUCUUUGAACGCACAUUGCGCCCGUCAGUAUUCUGGCGGGCAUGCCUGUUCGAGCGUCAUUACGC